UACGGAGGAUCCAAGCGUUAUCCGGAUUCAUUGGGUUUAAAGGGUGCGUAGGCGGAAUAAUAAGUCAGAGGUGAAAGCCUGCAGCUCAACUGUAGAAUUGCCUUUGAUACUGUUGUUCUUGAGUACAUUUGAUGUGGGCGGAAUGUGUCAUGUAGCGGUGAAAUGCUUAGAUAUGACACAGAACACCGAUUGCGAAGGCAGCUCACAAAACUGUUACUGACGCUGAGGCACGAAAGCGUGGGGAGCGAACAGG
Molecule: ribosomal RNA, 253 nt
Filed under: uncultured bacterium
Lineage: Bacteria
Description: partial 16S ribosomal RNA
Rfam family: Bacterial small subunit ribosomal RNA
Source: RNAcentral